AGUGAACGCUGGCGGUAGGCCUAACACAUGCAAGUCGAACGGCAGCACAGUAAGAGCUUGCUCUUACGGGUGGCGAGUGGCGGACGGGUGAGGAAUACAUCGGAAUCUACUUUUUCGUGGGGGAUAACGUAGGGAAACUUACGCUAAUACCGCAUACGACCUACGGGUGAAAGCAGGGGAUCUUCGGACCUUGCGCGAUUGAAUGAGCCGAUGUCGGAUUAGCUAGUUGGCGGGGUAAAGGCCCACCAAGGCGACGAUCCGUAGCUGGUCUGAGAGGAUGAUCAGCCACACUGGAACUGAGACACGGCCCAGACUCCUACGGGAGGCAGCAGUGGGGAAUAUUGGACAAAGGGCGCAAGCCUGAUCCAGCCAUACCGCGUGGGUGAAGAAGGCCUUCGGGUUGUAAAGCCCUUUUGUUGGGAAAGAAAAGCAGCAGGUUAAUACCCCGCUGUUCUGACGGUACCCAAAGAAUAAGCACCGGCUAACUUCGUG
RNAcentral lists this ribosomal RNA (492 nucleotides) under uncultured bacterium. RNAcentral's name for it is "partial 16S ribosomal RNA". It matches the Rfam family "Bacterial small subunit ribosomal RNA", at positions 29 to 507 of the family's 1533-position model. The record is from RNAcentral.